CCUGCAAUUAGCAACACACCAUGAAUUCCCGACAAUGAUAAGCCCAUAGACCACCGCAGCCAUCAGAAAAAUCAGUAACAACAACCAUAUUAAUUUCAACUCCUAAAUUACAACACUUACAUUAUAAUAGAAAUAAUAAACAUUUACAUGCUCGUCUGCACCCAAAAUUUGUCCCGGCCACCAUGACCCAUUCCACUUGUCAACCCUAACCAACCCACCCAUCGACUCAUUAAUGCCCAUUGUUUUUGCCUCACCAGAAAUCCCCAUCUCUUCACCAGAACCUAUUAAAACAAUCUCCAGAUAUAAUCUCAACUAAGAAAAGCCCCAAUUUCAAAAAACUCAGAAAAACUCCAAUUUUAUCUCUGACAAAUGAAAAAGAUAAAAACUCAGAAAAGCCUCAAUUUCAUCUUUGACAAAUGGAAAAAAUAAAAACUCAGAAAAGUCAUGAAGCCAAAAACUAGAAAAAUUGAAGAUGAAGAACAGAAGAUGUCAUGAGUCACAGAGUUUCUUCAAGGGAAGGCUGCCUUGGCGCGGAGCAUCUCGAAUGGGUUCCCAAUCGAGGGAGGAAUCGAGGCGGCGGGGGAGAGUUUGGAGGACUUUUCGUCCGAUCAUGCCGAGGAGAAAUGGCUGGUUGGAGGCGAUGAGGUACUUGUUCGUAGCAACUCUUGAAGCGGAAGAAGAGAAGAUGGAGAAAAAAUGAGAAGAAAGAGAGAGAAAGAGAGCACAUCAUGUUUCUGGUAUUCUUUUCAAAAAAUUAAAUCAAUU
RNAcentral lists this long non-coding RNA (765 nucleotides) under Panax ginseng (ginseng). Its description in RNAcentral is "long non-coding RNA (PGIN_LNC000194)". The record is from RNAcentral. Lineage: Eukaryota; Viridiplantae; Streptophyta; Magnoliopsida; Apiales; Araliaceae.